RNAcentral lists this ribosomal RNA (380 nucleotides) under uncultured eukaryote. Its description in RNAcentral is "partial 18S ribosomal RNA". It matches the Rfam family "Eukaryotic small subunit ribosomal RNA", at positions 592 to 976 of the family's 1831-position model. The record is from RNAcentral.
CAAUAGCGUAUAUUAAAGCUGUUGCGGUUAAAAAGCUCGUAGUUGGAUUUCUGUCAAGUACAACUGGUCCGCCCUCCGGGUGAGCACAUAGUUUGGUCUUGGCAUCUUGCUGGAAAUUGUUGCUGCACUUGGCUGUGUGGCACAGUGUCCAGCACUUUCACUUUGAGGAAAUUGGAGUGUUUCAAGCAGGCAAUGCCUUUGAACACAGUAGCAUGGAAUAAUUAGAUUGGGCUUUUGCUCCAAUUUGUCGGUUUCUGGAGCUGAGGUGAGAAUUAAUGGGGAUUGUUGGGGGCAUCCGAAUUUAGCCGUCAGAGGUGAAAUUCUUGGAUCGGCUAAAGACGGACAACUGCGAAGGCGUUUGCCCAGGAUGUUUUCAUUGA